AGAGUUUGAUCAUGGCUCAGGAUGAACGCUAGCUACAGGCUUAACACAUGCAAGUCGAGGGGCAGCAUGUUGGUUGCUUGCAACCAAUGAUGGCGACCGGCGCACGGGUGAGUAACGCGUAUCCAACCUACCCUUGUCCAUCGGAUAACCCGUCGAAAGGCGGCCUAACACGAUAUGCGGUUCACAGCAGGCAUCUAAGGUGAACGAAAUGUGAAGGAGAAGGAUGGGGAUGCGUCUGAUUAGCUUGUUGGCGGGGUAACGGCCACAAGGCUACGAUCAGUAGGGGUUCUGAGAGGAAGGUCCCCAGAUUGGGAACUGAGACACGGUCCAAACUCCUACGGGAGCA
This 346-nucleotide ribosomal RNA is filed under the name uncultured bacterium. Its description in RNAcentral is "bacterial SSU rRNA". It matches the Rfam family "Bacterial small subunit ribosomal RNA", at positions 8 to 349 of the family's 1533-position model. The record is from RNAcentral.